GCCCUCAUCGUCUAGCGGUUCAGGACAGAUCCCUCUCACGGAUCAGACCGGGGUUCGAGUCCCCGUGGGGGUA
RNAcentral lists this transfer RNA (73 nucleotides) under Opitutaceae bacterium TAV5. It matches the Rfam family "tRNA". From Rfam's summary of the family: Transfer RNA (tRNA) molecules are approximately 80 nucleotides in length. Their secondary structure includes four short double-helical elements and three loops (D, anti-codon, and T loops). Further hydrogen bonds mediate the characteristic L-shaped molecular structure. tRNAs have two regions of fundamental functional importance: the anti-codon, which is responsible for specific mRNA codon recognition, and the 3' end, to which the tRNAs corresponding amino acid is attached (by aminoacyl-tRNA synthetases). tRNAs cope with the degeneracy of the genetic code in two manners: having more than one tRNA (with a specific anti-codon) for a particular amino acid; and 'wobble' base-pairing, i.e. permitting non-standard base-pairing at the 3rd anti-codon position. The record is from Rfam by way of RNAcentral. Lineage: Bacteria; Pseudomonadati; Verrucomicrobiota; Opitutia; Opitutales; Opitutaceae.